This 72-nucleotide transfer RNA is filed under the name Jatropha curcas. It matches the Rfam family "tRNA". From Rfam's summary of the family: Transfer RNA (tRNA) molecules are approximately 80 nucleotides in length. Their secondary structure includes four short double-helical elements and three loops (D, anti-codon, and T loops). Lineage: Eukaryota; Viridiplantae; Streptophyta; Magnoliopsida; Malpighiales; Euphorbiaceae. The record is from Rfam by way of RNAcentral.
GAGGCUAUAACUCAGUAGUAGAGUGUCACCUUGACGAGGUAGAAGUCAUCAGUUCGAGCCUGAUUCUCCCUA